CCUUAUCACGAGCGGCGGAGGGAACAGGCCCGAUGAUGCCCGGCAACCUGCAUUGCGCAAGGUGCCAAUUCCUGCGGUGAAAACCGACAGAUGAGG
RNAcentral lists this non-coding RNA (96 nucleotides) under human gut metagenome. RNAcentral's name for it is "SAM riboswitch (S box leader)". It matches the Rfam family "SAM riboswitch aptamer (S box leader)". Rfam says of the family: The SAM riboswitch is found upstream of a number of genes which code for proteins involved in methionine or cysteine biosynthesis in Gram-positive bacteria. The record is from RNAcentral.